Molecule: ribosomal RNA, 376 nt
Filed under: uncultured bacterium
Lineage: Bacteria
Description: bacterial SSU rRNA
Rfam family: Bacterial small subunit ribosomal RNA
Source: RNAcentral
UACAGAGGGUGCGAGCGUUGUCCGGAAUCACUGGGCGUAAAGGGCGCGUAGGCGGUGAUCUAAGCGUGCGGUGAAAGCUCGGGGCUCAACCCUGAGUCGGCCGUGCGAACUGGGUCACUGGAGCACGGUAGAGGCCAAUGGAAUUCCGGGUGUAGCGGUGGAAUGCGUAGAGAUCCGGAAGAACACCGGUGGCGAAGGCGGUUGGCUGGGCCGUAGCUGACGCUGAUGCGCGACAGCGUGGGGAGCAAACAGGAUUAGAUACCCUGGUAGUCCACGCCGUAAACGAUGGGCACUAGGUCCUUGGGGGAGCGACCCCGUGAGGGCCGGCGCUAACGCAUUAAGUGCCCCGCCUGGGGAGUACGGCCGCAAGGCUGAA